GACGAACGCUGCGGCGUGCUUAACACAUGCAAGUCGAACGGAGCGAAUGAAAGCUUGCUUUUAUGAGCUUAGUGGCAAACGGGUGAGUAACACGUAGACAACCUGCCGACAGGAUGGGGACAACAUUCCGAAAGGAAUGCUAAUACCGAAUGAAGCGGAGGAGAGGCAUCUCUCCUCCGUGAAAGAUGGCCUCUGAAUAUGCUAUCACCUGUCGAUGGGUCUGCGUCUGAUUAGCUGGUUGGUGAGGUAACGGCUCACCAAGGCGACGAUCAGUAGCCGGUCUGAGAGGAUGAACGGCCACAUUGGGACUGAGACACGGCCCAGACUCCUACGGGAGGCAGCAGUGGGGAAUCUUCCGCAAUGGGCGCAAGCCUGACGGAGCAACGCCGCGUGAGUGAAGAAGGUCUUCGGAUCGUAAAGCUCUGUUGACGGGGACGAACGUGCGAAGGGUGAAUAAUCCUUUGUAAUGACGGUACCUGUCGAGGAAGCCACGG
This 494-nucleotide ribosomal RNA is filed under the name Centipeda infelix. RNAcentral's name for it is "bacterial SSU rRNA". It matches the Rfam family "Bacterial small subunit ribosomal RNA", at positions 28 to 496 of the family's 1533-position model. Lineage: Bacteria; Bacillati; Bacillota; Negativicutes; Selenomonadales; Selenomonadaceae. The record is from RNAcentral.